UACGAAGGGGGCUAGCGUUGCUCGAAAUUACUGGGCGUAAAGGGAGCGUAGGCGGACAUUUAAGUCAGGGGUGAAAUCCCAGAGCUCAACUCUGGAACUGCCUUUGAUACUGGAUGUCUUGAGUGUGAGAGAGGUAUGUGGAACUCCGAGUGUAGAGGUGAAAUUCGUAGAUAUUCGGAAGAACACCAGUGGCGAAGGCGACAUACUGGCUCAUUACUGACGCUGAGGCUCGAAAGCGUGGGGAGCAAACAGG
Molecule: ribosomal RNA, 253 nt
Filed under: uncultured bacterium
Lineage: Bacteria
Description: partial 16S ribosomal RNA
Rfam family: Bacterial small subunit ribosomal RNA
Source: RNAcentral